Long non-coding RNA from Gigantopelta aegis, 1130 nucleotides. RefSeq lists it as uncharacterized. The record is from RefSeq and is a predicted model, not a curated record. The transcript is spliced from 3 exons. Lineage: Eukaryota; Metazoa; Mollusca; Gastropoda; Neomphalida; Peltospiridae.
AGGGAACGGAUGUUUGGAUAGCUCUUCCCAAUUCACCCAGAUGGCGACAACCAUGUCGUGUUGUUUGAGGUCAAGGCGUUUGUGUUCACCAAGGCUACUAAUCUGAAAACAAUUUUCACCACGAAAGUCUGUGUUACAAGUGAUAGCACCUGUGAUAACAUUGACUGUUCUGGUCAGCAAUCAAGUGGGAGAAGAAAGCGAUCGACCGGUGACGUCACCAACAACACUUACGUCAUUGACGAAACAAUCACAGUUGUCUUCCCUGGAAGAAAGGGCGUGUCGUUGGCAAAGACUGGAGAACGCCGCCAAGAAGAGGGAUGUGAGACCAGUUCAGCCAUGAUAGGCACCGUGGCAGCUCUAGCAGGAGUUAUCUUCCUUUUGGUCGUUCUUCUGCUCGCCCUCGUGGCGCGGUCAUUCAGGAGAAAUAACCGCAACUCACGAGCUGACAAGAGGGAAGGAGUUAUCUCUCCUUACUUCACUAAAGACACACAGUGAACUGUCAAAUAAAAAACAGCACAAACGUUGGCAUAUGUGAUCGUUUAAAUGUUCUAUAUGUGUAUAAUACUUAGCACACACAUGCAGAUUAAAGGUACAUACACUAGAUUUUAAACGUUAAGGUAUAUGUUUUGCCAUUAGAGCCGGGUUUUUUUGUAACUGAAAUCGUAUUUUUCUUAGAUUUUAUUGUUUAGAUUAUCCAUUUCCGUACAUUCGAAGUAUUUUUGGUCAACAUGAUGUUUUUAAUAUAAGAAAAUGCAUUUCUCAUAUUUUAAAAACGCACGUGCAGUUAUGCAGUGGAGUUUUAGUCUAUGUUUAGAGGUUAUUUCACCAUUUCAAAGUUUCAUUCAAUUGUAACUUUAUCCAAAUGUGUUACAGGUUUGUAGAUUAAUUAACUUAGUGUUAAUUUUCACUGGUUGAUUUUCAUCUCGUUAAUCGUUAGAAAAUGCGCACAGCACAAAACCGACGGUCAUGUCGGCGUGUAGUGUGUUGUACAGUGUGAUAAAUAUAUAAUAACAGGGAUGAAUAUGUCGGCGUUUAGCUCGAGUGUUUUCUUAUACAAUGUGAUAAUUAAAUAAUAUUUAAGUGAUUUUAACUGGGGUAUAGGGUGACCAUGUCGGCGUUUUGCCUCGAGU